RNAcentral lists this ribosomal RNA (253 nucleotides) under uncultured bacterium. RNAcentral's name for it is "partial 16S ribosomal RNA". It matches the Rfam family "Bacterial small subunit ribosomal RNA", at positions 524 to 776 of the family's 1533-position model. The record is from RNAcentral.
UACGGAGGGUGCAAGCGUUGUCCGGAUUUAUUGGGUUUAAAGGGUGCGUAGGCGGUCUAUUAAGUCAGCGGUGAAAUACUCCAGCUUAACUGGAGGGGUGCCAUUGAUACUGAUGGACUUGAGUCAAGUCGAGGUAGGCGGAAUUGACGGUGUAGCGGUGAAAUGCUUAGAUAUCGUCAAGAACACCAAUAGUGAAGACAGCUUACUGGGCUUAAACUGACGCUGAGGCACGAAAGUGUGGGGAUCAAACAGG